Molecule: ribosomal RNA, 253 nt
Filed under: uncultured bacterium
Lineage: Bacteria
Description: partial 16S ribosomal RNA
Rfam family: Bacterial small subunit ribosomal RNA
Source: RNAcentral
UACGAAGGGGGCUAGCGUUGCUCGGAAUCACUGGGCGUAAAGGGUGCGUAGGCGGGUCUUUAAGUCAGGGGUGAAAUCCUGGAGCUCAACUCCAGAACUGCCUUUGAUACUGAGGAUCUUGAGUUCGGGAGAGGUGAGUGGAACUGCGAGUGUAGAGGUGAAAUUCGUAGAUAUUCGCAAGAACACCAGUGGCGAAGGCGGCGCACUGGCCCGAUACUGACGCUGAGGCACGAAAGCGUGGGGAGCAAACAGG